GUGGCCUAGUGGUUAGAGCGUCUGCCUCGGAUGCGGGGCGGGUGAUCGUGGGUUCGAUCCCCGGGCCA
Molecule: non-coding RNA, 68 nt
Organism: Potamilus streckersoni
Lineage: Eukaryota; Metazoa; Mollusca; Bivalvia; Unionida; Unionidae
Source: the annotation of a GenBank genome assembly